GUCUACGGCCAUGCCACUCUGAAUAAGCCCAAUCCCAUCUGAUCUCAGAUGCUAUCAGGUUGGGCCUCUUUAGUACUUGGAUGGAAGACCACCUAGGAAGAGCAGGUGCUGUAGGUA
RNAcentral lists this ribosomal RNA (117 nucleotides) under Pteropus alecto (black flying fox). The record is from RNAcentral. Lineage: Eukaryota; Metazoa; Chordata; Mammalia; Chiroptera; Pteropodidae.